Molecule: ribosomal RNA, 255 nt
Filed under: uncultured bacterium
Lineage: Bacteria
Also listed under: 1 other name
Description: partial 16S ribosomal RNA
Rfam family: Bacterial small subunit ribosomal RNA
Source: RNAcentral
UACGGGGGGAGCAAGCGUUGUUCGGAUUUACUGGGCGUAAAGGGCGCGUAGGCGGCCACAACAAGUCACUUGUGAAAUCUCCGGGCUUAACCCGGUAGCGGCCAAGUGAUACUGUUGGGCUAGAGUGCGGAAGGGGCAACUGGAAUUCUCGGUGUAGCGGUGAAAUGCGUAGAUAUCGAGAGGAACACCUGCGGCGAAGGCGGGUUGCUGGGCCGACACUGACGCUGAGGCGCGAAAGCUAGGGGAGCGAACGGG